GGGGUUGUGGGACAACUUGGCUAGCCUAUCAGCUUAGGGAGCUGAAGAUCCGAGUUCAAAUCUCGGCAACCCCA
RNAcentral lists this transfer RNA (74 nucleotides) under Microcaldota archaeon. RNAcentral describes it as "Candidatus Micrarchaeota archaeon (hot springs metagenome) tRNA-Pro". It matches the Rfam family "tRNA". Rfam says of the family: Transfer RNA (tRNA) molecules are approximately 80 nucleotides in length. Their secondary structure includes four short double-helical elements and three loops (D, anti-codon, and T loops). The record is from RNAcentral. Lineage: Archaea; Nanobdellati; Microcaldota.